AAGUUGAAAUUUACAUCAAGUAUAGAAUGAGAGCUGUACUAUGUGUUAAUUAUGGUGACUGAUUGUGGAAGAAGGAUUUACGCUGUCUUUGGCGGCGAAGUGGGGAAAGCCGCUGUCGUUGUCAUCUGUAAUAUUAUAUUGAGUUAAAAGCUGUGAAAGACGGAUUAGAUUUUAGAAAAUGAUGGUAAAACUGGUACCCUUCUUUUUUCGAGGCGCAGAUGUAGUCCUGGAUCUUUUGGACAUAUCAUCACAAGAAGCAGAAACAACAUCUCGUGUAUCUUGCAAUCCCAAAUUAUCGAGCUCAAGUGAUGAA
Molecule: long non-coding RNA, 313 nt
Organism: Belonocnema kinseyi
Lineage: Eukaryota; Metazoa; Arthropoda; Insecta; Hymenoptera; Cynipidae
Exons: 3
Source: RefSeq, a predicted model, not a curated record